AGCCUGCGGGCCUCCCCCGGGUGUGCCUAGCGUGCCUGGGGUGGAGCUCGCCCUGGCACCAGCCUGACACCGCAACUGCACAGGAAUGGUGUAAAUAACACUAAGCAUUACUUUACCUGUGGUCACUUUGCAUGCACCUCCCAUACAAUCCAUCUUCUCUCUUGCAAUGUCGUCAUCAUCAUCCUCUUCAUCCUCACCAUCACCACCACCAAGGCGACCUGGUAGACCCACCAUAUAUUCCCCAUUAGAAAAAAAGAGGAGGAGAAAGAGUCUAGAGAGAAAAAGGGCUCAAUCGAGGAUAUGUAUAAGAGAACAAAUAGGACGAUGGAUGUCACUUAGGGAAACGCUUAAUGUCUUCUCACAUGCUGAAGUUGCCAAGUUUUUGCUGGACUUAUAUGACAAUUAUGAAAACCGAGAUGUGUGCAAGGAAUCAGAAGUGAAAAUACAGGAAGCGGAUGGAAACUCAACAUUAAAUGCAGAAAAGGAUGUGCCAGAGAUCUCUCUAAUAGCAGGCACUGAAAGAUUGCUAUGUGAAAAUUUAGAGGAUGAAUCUACAGAAAGUUCAGGGGAAGAGUGUACUAUUGAUAAUGAAUAUGACCUUUCUAAAAGUUUUUCUUCAGUUAAACACUUGAAAAAUGUGUCUAUAGCAGAGGAUAUAUUGGGUAUUACAGAUGAAUGUGAUGAUGGGUCACAAGGUGACUUUAUAGAAACCUUUGAGGAGACAACUCAUGAUAUGACUUUGGAUGACACCCAGGAUAUUUCUCAUGAAAAAAUUCACAUUGUUUAUGAACAAUCCCUUCUUCAACUAGCCAAAAAAAUUGUUAUACCAAAAUGUAUGUAUUGUGCUGGUGAAGUUGAUAUUUCUGUACAGCCUGUUUCCUCCUGUGUGCAUUUGAUAUGGAAAUGUAGUGCAGGACAUAUAGCAUUUGAAUGGUCUUCUCAACCCUUGGUAAAAGGACAGACCCAUGCAGGAGACCUUGCUUUAUCUGCUGCAAUCAUACUGUCAGGAAACAAUUUUGGAAAAAUUUCACAAAUGGCAAACUUUAUGAAGCUGACAUUCAUAAGUGCAAGUACGUUCUUCAGAAUGCAACGUCACUUUAUUGUCCCAACUAUAGAAUCCUUCUGGUGUCGAAUGAAGCAACACAUUUUAGAGGAACUACAUGGGAAGGAAGUAGUCCUUAUGGGAGAUGGACGCAUGGAUGGCCCUGGCCACUCUGCACAGUAUUGUGUAUACUCAUUCAUGGAUUUAGAAACUAAACAAAUUUUAGCUAUUGAAAUAGUGGAUAAACGCAAAACGCAACUGAACUCCCCAUUUAUGGAGAAGGAAGCCUUUAGAAGAGGAUUACAAAAAUUGUUGGAUGAACAGCUAAUAGUCAAAGAAGUGGUUACUGAUUCACACACUCAGAUCUCUGCUUUGAUAACAAAGAAAUUUCCCUGUAUAAUCCAUUCAUAUGACAUAUGGUGUGGUGCCAAAAAUCUUGGAAAUAAAUUAAUUGAGGCUAGCAGACAGAAAGAUUGUCGCCGUCUUUUACAAUGGUGUUCAGAUAUUGUCAAUUAUUUCUGGUUUUGCUGCAAGGAAGCAAAUUCAUAUGAAAAAUUUAUUGGAAUGUGGUGUGGCUUAGUUCAUCAUGUGGUCAAUGAACAUCAGUGGGCUAGUGGAAACGGCAUCAUUGAGGGACGGUGCAAACAUGGUCCUCAAAUGGAUGAAAGAGAAAAGGAAUGGCUAGAAAAGGGAAGCAAACCUCACACUGAAAUGUGCAGAAUAAUUUUGGAUAAAAAGUUUCUGAGAAACAUCCCAUACUUUCUACAGUUUAGAUCCACAUUUGAUCUGGAACAGUUUCAGCAGCAUGUGCAUAUGUAUGCUCCCAAAAGAUUUGAAUACACCUAUACAGUGUACAGAGCAAGAUGUUUUUUGGCUGCUAUUGAUUACAAUAUGCAUUUGAACCGGCAAACCAUGCACAAUCAACAGAAUCAGUUAAUAUACCGUAGAAUUUAUCACAGGAAAUCUGGGAGAUGGACCUUGGUACCCAAGAAAGAAAAUAAGCAUUAUGUAUAUACUGAUGACAUAAUGGAGGAGAUAUUUCAACGCCGUUUGGGGAUGUAGCAAGAGGUCCUGAAAGCAAAACCUCUGAAACCAAAUAUUUCAAGACUGAUUGCAAAAUGAAUUAUACUAAUUAGCCUUCUUUCACAAUUAAAAAAAAAAAAACUUCUCCAGGCUUAUAUUUAUUGGAAUUACCUAUGGUGUUAUUCUACUGGUGGGAAGCUGAGAAAGGAGUUAAGGGGCUUGUCCAAGGUCACAGAGGGACUUGGUGUCAGAACUGGAGCAGUCUGGAAUGUAUACCUCUUCUCUAAUGUGGCAGUUUCUCAAGAUUUAAAUUCUCUGUUUUAAGUACUUCAUUUUAUAUGUCUCUAAAAAUGUGAUCUGCCUCUGUACAUAGAUGACAUUAAUUUUAUCAUAAUGUGACUUAUUUAAGUUUUUAAAAUUACUUAUGCAGGGCGCUGGAGAGAGAUGCACAGGUAGCACGUUUCUCAUUUUGAUUUUUCUAUGAGCUAGUGCUGCACUAAUAUGAGGGUGACCCCUUUCAUAAAUUUUAGUACAUGUACACACAUACUUAACAUAUUUUCUGUAUAUGAAACAUGUUCUUUCCAGAUGAGUUUUGAGUCUGAUUGUAUGGUCAGCCUAGAAAGGGUGUAUUUUUUGGGCUUAACUGGGGCCCAUGGGAGCUUUGAAAUGUCAUGUUUGGCAGGGCUGUGGCAAUUUGAGAGAUCUGUACAAAUAAGUGUCCUCAAGACUUUAGAGUAACAAAAAAAACCUCCUUGCAGAACUGAAAGUCUUUCUUUUUUUACCUCCCUUUGACUAAUAUUUUAAUCUACCUGAGUCGUCUUGGUACCAUGCCAGAAAUCCUGUAUGAAAGUAUUAUUUAACACAAAAAUAAUUUAAAAAUUAAGUCCAUGCAAAUGAUAAUAUUUAUAGUGGGGAUAAUUAAUUGAUAGAAUCAUAAAAAUAAAAAAGCCCCACUCCUGCAGUUCACUUUACAAGGUUACUCUGUUAUGUCCAUUGGUUUCAAAACUGUGAAUAUGAUUGCCAUCCUUGCUCUGUAUUUUCAGAGGCACAAGUACCAAGGUGCAGUUUCAACAACUGCUCCUAUUUUUUAUCCCAUUUUUUAAAGUUUUAUUUUGGUUAUAUUUUCUAUCCAACAAAAAUUUAGUAACAAAGGUGACACAGAUGCUCCAGACAUUUUUGCUGUACUGUAUUAUUGCUGUGUACUUUUUUUCUGUUAGUAUACUAUGUACUAUAUGUAACUAAGUGCUGAAUAUUAGAGCAGUUUAAAUACACACUUUUCAGCUGUUCAAUGGGGCAAACAAAGUUAAUUAACUUAGUCUGCAACAUGUUUAAAUAUUUAAAGUGCAGCUCUAAUCUGGAAAGUGAAUGAAAAUGGAAGCAUCUUACUCAACAGAUCUGCUCCCUGAAUGUAUUCAGGGUUUUAUUUGACUACUUUAAUGACAAAAAGUAAGUGUCCAUUACAUUUUAUUCCCAUUAUUCCAGCAGGGCCAACAUAACUAAGAAGGUAAAGGAGUUUGAACUAGGUUUCUCUUCCUUCUUGACAAUAGAAUUCUGUGCCAAGUUCCAGUCUGUUACACCAGUGCUACCCUAUUAGUGACAAUGUAGUUCAUUUACUGGUGAAAUAAAUGGUUUUGCACAGGUGUUACAGUUGCAAUAUUCUGGCCUAUAGAGUCCUUAUUACAGGUGCUGAUGCACAAAGGGCAGAGUGACUCUCAUUUGCAGGGCCAGUAGUUAGAAAAAACACUUUUUUUUAAAGCUUGUAAACAAAACACAUUUAAUGUGGAAAUAAUGGAGACAAAGUAGGUAUGGAAUCCUUUAAUGUCACUUUUACCCAACACUUUUCAGAAUAAAACCAUGCUUUAUAUAGAGAAGGAAAUUAGAGCAAAGCGUCUU
Mauremys mutica (yellowpond turtle) is the source of this 3958-nucleotide RNA transcript. RefSeq lists it as uncharacterized. Lineage: Eukaryota; Metazoa; Chordata; Testudines; Geoemydidae. The transcript has 14 exons. The record is from RefSeq and is a predicted model, not a curated record.